Molecule: long non-coding RNA, 1695 nt
Organism: Callithrix jacchus (white-tufted-ear marmoset)
Lineage: Eukaryota; Metazoa; Chordata; Mammalia; Primates; Cebidae
Source: Ensembl
GAUGGUUUGAAUUUCGGUGGAAUCAGUGGUGAUUUCCCCUUUAUUGUUUUUAUUGCAUUUAUUUGGUUAUUCUCUCUCUUUUUUUUUUUUAUCACUCUGGCUUGUGAUCAGUCUAUUUUGUUGAUCUUUUCAAAAAACCAGCUCUUAGAUUUAUUGAUUUUUUGAAGGGUUUUUCCUGUCUCUGUCUCCUUCAGUUCUGCUCUGAUCUUAGUUAUUUCUUUUUUUUUUUUUUUUUUUUUUUUUUUUUUUUUUUUUUUUUUUGAGACAGAGUUUCUCUCUUGUUACCCAGGCUGGAGUGCAAUGCGCGAUCUCGGCUCACCGCAACCUCCGCCUCCUGGGUUCAGGGAAUUCUCCUGCCUCAGCCUCCUGAGUAGCUGGGAUUACAGGCAUGCACCACCAUGCCCAGCUAAUUUUUUGUAAUUUUUAGUAGAGACAGGGUUUCACCAUGUUGACCAGGGUGGUCUCGAUCUGUUGACCUCGUGAUCCACCCGCCUCGGCCUCCCAAAGAGCUGGGAUUACAGGCUUUAGCCACCGCGCCCGGCCGUUAUUUCUUGUCUUCUUCUAGCUUUUGAGUUUUUUUAAUCUUGCCCCUCUAGCUCUUUCAAUUUUGACCAUAGGGUGCCAAUUUUGGAUCUCUCUGCUCUUCUCAUAUGGGCACUUAUUGCUAUAUAUUUUCCUCUAGAGACUGCUUUAAAUGUGUCCCAGAGAUUCUGGCAUGUUGUGUCUUCGUUCUCAUUGGUUUCGAAGAACCUCUUUAUUUCUGCCUUCAUUUUCUUCUAGGGUUUUUAUGGUGCCAGGUCUUAUGUUUAAGUCUUUAAUCCAUCUGGAGUUAAUUUUAGUGUAAGGUGUCAGGAAGGGGUCCAGUUUCUGCUUUCUGCACAUGGCUAGCCAGUUUUCCCAACACCAUUUGUUAAACAUGGAAUCCUUGCCCCAUUGCUUGUUUUUGUCAGGUUUAUCAAAGAUUGUAUAGUUGUAUGUAUGUUGUGUUGCCUCCGGUGCCUCUGUUUUGUUCCAUUGGUCUAUAUCUCUGUUUUGGUACCAGUACCAUGCUGUUUUGAUUAAUGUAGCCUUGUAGUAUAGUUUGAAAUCUGGUAGUGUGAUGCCCCCCGCUGUGUUCUUUUUGCUUAGAAUUGACUUGGCUAUGCGGGCUCUCUUUUAGUUCCAUAUGAAGUUCAUGGUGGUUUUUUCCAGUUCUGUGAAGAAAGUCAAUGGUAGCCUGAUGGGGAUAGCGUUGAUUCUGUAAAUUACUUUGGGCAGUAUAGCCAUUUUCACGAUAUUAAUUCUUCCUAACCAUGAACAUGGAAUGUUUCUCCAUCUGUUUGUGUCCUCUCUUAUUUCGUUGAGCAGUGGUUUGUAGUUCUCCUUGAAGAGGUCUCUUAUGUUCCUUGUGAGUUGUAUUCCAAGGUAUUUUAUUCUUUGUGUAGCAAUUGCGAAUGGCAGUUCGCUCUUGAUUUGGCUUUCUUUAAGUCUGUUAUUGGUGUAGACGAAUGCUUGUGAUUUUUGCACAUUGAUUUUAUAUCCUGAGACUUCACUGAAGUUGCUUAUCAGUUUCAGGAGUUUUUGGGCUGAGGCAAUGGGGUCUUCUAGGUAUACUAUCAUGUCGUCUGCAAAUAGAGACAAUUUGGCUUCCACCUUUCCUAUUUGAAUACCCUUUAUUUCUUUUUCUUGCCUGAUUGCUCUGGCUAGAACCUCCAG